Molecule: ribosomal RNA, 231 nt
Filed under: uncultured bacterium
Lineage: Bacteria
Description: partial 16S ribosomal RNA
Rfam family: Bacterial small subunit ribosomal RNA
Source: RNAcentral
UGAGGAACAUGACCUUCGGCGGGGGAUAGCCGGCCCAACGGCCGGGUAAUACCGCGUACGACCACAUGGGGACAUCCCUGAGUGGUGAAAGCAGCAAUGCGCCGAUGGAGUGCCUCGCGGCCUAUCAGCUAGUUGGUGAGGUAACGGCUCACCAAGGCGACGACGGGUAGUUGGUCUGAGAGGAUGGCCAGCCACAUUGGGACUGAGACACGGCCCAGACUCCUAGGGAGG